AUGACCCACUGCCGCGUGCUGACCUACGGCAGCUUCGUCUCCAGCGUGCGCGACCAGCUCGUGCUCCACGCCGGGGCGACGCGCCACCUGGAGCUCGUCUUGCUUCCUCCACAAGAAGAGGACCCACGCAAGGCCCCAUGGUUCGGCGUCACGCUCAGAUGCGGCUCCGGGAAGUCAGUGCUGCUCCGGAUACGCGCAGACAACCUCUACAUCUCCGGUUACCGGAGCCCGGAAGGUCUAUGGUCCGAGUUCCUCGGUGGCUCCCUAAUCGACGGCGCGGCGCCACUCUCGUUCGCCGGUAGCUACGGCGAUAUGGCGAGAGUGGCCAAGACGGCACUUGAGGCACUCACCCUCGGCAAGGAGGAGCUCGAAGCCAACGCCGGCACCCAGCAGGAGAUCGUGAGAUCGCCGAUGACCAUGUCGGUGAUGGUCUGUGAGGCCGUCAGGUUCAGGAGCGUCGGCGGCGUGCUCGGCCACAUGGCGCACAUGGUGGAGCGGGUGAAGAACUGGAGGAGCCUCUCCGAGUACUGGCUCGGGGCCGUCCUCUACGCACUGUCGUUCCUGCCGUACAUAGAGGCCGACGGCAGUCAGCACUAUGGCCACAUCCCCCAGCACCUACUCGCGCCGGCGAAGAUCGACUGCCAGGACCACGCCAUGAUGGCGCUCGGCGUCGCGCUGAACCGGCAGAGGGGGCUGCAGGACAAGCACCAGGCGGCGUUCGACGAGCACUGGCGCGCCGUGCACGCCCACGCUCGCAAGCUUGACAGGGAAAGAGCAUCUGCAUCCGGUACACGAUGA
This 798-nucleotide ribosomal RNA is filed under the name Triticum aestivum (bread wheat). RNAcentral describes it as "partial small subunit ribosomal RNA". Lineage: Eukaryota; Viridiplantae; Streptophyta; Magnoliopsida; Poales; Poaceae. The record is from RNAcentral.